UACGUAGGGCGCAAGCGUUGUCCGGAAGUAUUGGGCGUAAAGAGCUCGUAGGCGGCUUGUCGCGUCGAUUGUGAAAGCCCGGGGCUUAACCCCGGGUCUGCAUUCGAUACGGGCAGACUGGAGUGUGGUAGGGGAGAUCGGAAUUCCUGGUGUAGCGGUGAAAUGCGCAGAUAUCAGGAGGAACACCGGUGGCGAAGGCGGAUCUCUGGGCCAUUACUGACGCUGAGGAGCGAAAGCGUGGGGAGCGAACAGG
RNAcentral lists this ribosomal RNA (253 nucleotides) under uncultured bacterium. RNAcentral describes it as "partial 16S ribosomal RNA". It matches the Rfam family "Bacterial small subunit ribosomal RNA", at positions 524 to 776 of the family's 1533-position model. The record is from RNAcentral.